Molecule: ribosomal RNA, 660 nt
Filed under: uncultured bacterium
Lineage: Bacteria
Description: bacterial SSU rRNA
Rfam family: Bacterial small subunit ribosomal RNA
Source: RNAcentral
AGAGUUUGAUCCUGGCUCAGGACGAACGCUGGCGGUGUGCUUCACACAUGCAAGUCGAACGGGGUAGCAAUACCCAGUGGCGGACGGGUGAGUAACACGUGGGAAUCUGCCUUGAGAUGGGGGAUAGCAGACCGAAAGGUCUAUUAAUACCGCAUAUGUGUAUGUCUCGACAGGGGCAUACAUGAAAGGAGCAAUCCGUCUUAAGAUGAGCCCGCGUCCGAUUAGCUAGUUGGUAGGGUAAUGGCCUACCAAGGCGACGAUCGGUAGGUGGUCUGAGAGGAUGAUCACCCACAAUGGGACUGAGACACGGCCCAUACUCCUACGGGAGGCAGCAGUGGGGAAUUUUGUGCAAUGGGCGAAAGCCUGACACAGCGACACCGCGUGAGCGAAGAAGCCCUUUGGGGUGUAAAGCUCUGUCAGCUGGAACGAAACAAAUGACGGUACCAGCAGAGGAAGCAUCGGCUAACUACGUGCCAGCAGCCGCGGUAAGACGUAGGAUGCGAGCGUUGUCCGGAUUUAUUGGGCGUAAAGAGUUCGUAGGUGGUUUGUUAAGUUCGAUGUUAAAGAUCGAGGCUCAACCUCGGGAGUGCAUUGAAUACUGGCAGACUUGAGUGCGGUAGAGGCUAGCGGAAUUCCCAGUGUAGCGGUGAAAUGCGUAGA